Molecule: ribosomal RNA, 468 nt
Filed under: uncultured bacterium
Lineage: Bacteria
Description: partial 16S ribosomal RNA
Rfam family: Bacterial small subunit ribosomal RNA
Source: RNAcentral
GACGAACGCUGGCGGCGUGCUUAACACAUGCAAGUCGAACGGAAAGGCCCUGCUUUUGUGGGGUGCUCGAGUGGCGAACGGGUGAGUAACACGUGAGUAACCUGCCCUUGACUUUGGGAUAACUUCAGGAAACUGGGGCUAAUACCGGAUAGGAGCUCCUGCUGCAUGGUGGGGGUUGGAAAGUUUCGGCGGUUGGGGAUGGACUCGCGGCUUAUCAGCUUGUUGGUGGGGUAGUGGCUUACCAAGGCUUUGACGGGUAGCCGGCCUGAGAGGGUGACCGGCCACACUGGAACGGGGAUACGACCCAGACCCCUACGGGAGGCAGCAGUGCGGAAUAGUAUACAAGGCGAGGAGGCCUGAUGCAGCACCGCCGCGUGCGGUAUGACGGCCUUCGGGUUGUGAUCCGCUGCCGUUUGUGACGAAGCGUGAGUGACGGUAAUGGGUAAAGAAGCACCGGCUAACUACGUG